UCAGUUACAUGUGAAAUCUAAGGAACAAAAUAAAUGAACCAAUAAAACAGAAACAAACUCAUAGGUACAAAGAAUAAAUUGAUGGCUUCCAUUUGGGAGAGGGGUUGAGGAAGUGAGUGAAUAAGGUGAAAAGAUUAAGAUGUACAAAUUGCCAGUUAUAAAAACAGUCAUGGGGAUGUAAAGUACAGUGUAGAAAUACAGUCAAUAAUAUUUUAAGAACUACGUAUGGUACCAGACAGGUACCAGACUUAUUGGGGUGGUCACUUUAUAAGUUAGAUAGUAUCUAAUCAUUAUGUUGUAUACCUGAAACUAAUGUAAUGUUGACUGUCAGCUGUAACUAAUUUUUUUUUAUUUUUUAAGACCACUGUAUAUUAUAAUGGACAAUGCAUUCACCUUAGACCUGAGUUUUGUAAAAUAAUAAUGUCUAACCAAUAUAGAAAUAGUUUAAUGAUAUCACCACAAGUAAUUCUGCAUUUCACUAAUGCAAUCCCUUUCAGCACACAACUCUUUAACAUAACUUGAGUCAGGCAUGUACUUUAAAAGAUCCGGGAGAAUGAACAAUGUAUACGUCCUUCCAGCAAUUUCUCUGGGAUUGAGGUAAUACUCAACUGAGGUACAUGAGAUACUACUAAGUAGCAAGCACCAGUCUAAUGCCUGGGGUUUUUCUUGUUGCUAGUUGAACAGAGCACCACAUAUCCUAACAGACAAUAGAGUGUACAGAGCUUUACAAAGUGGAGCACCUAAAUAAAUGAAUGGCAUCCCCUCCUAAGAGACAGUACUAUUGCAAACCAGAAUUCAUUCUCAGACUCUCCAGACCUUAAAAUAUAUGUAUUAAAUAUGAAUAUUAAUAUUUAGCUUCAAAAUAAUCUAGAGAUAGGAGGAUGAAGGAGUAAUGACUGGAGAACAAGAAAUUAAAUUUUAAUAAAAAAGACUGGCUAUAUUUUGAUACUUAUUAAAAGUUGGGUGAUGAGUAUAUGAAGUGCUAAAUUAAAAAGUGAAAAUAAAAAUCUAAAGAAUUAUCCAAAGAAAGCUUAAUAUUGUACUAUACUAGUCUUAAUGUACCCUUUAAGAUAAUUUAUUUGUGAGGACACGUGAAACUUAAAGUAAAUAUACAUAUACAUUUAAAAUAUAAUUAUAUAUAUGUUCUUAUAAAUACAUAUAUAUUUUACUUAUAAAAAUACACACACAUAAGUGAUUCUUUUAAACCAAUUACAAGCUUGAAACAUUUGUCAACAUAAUAAAAUCAGACUUAGAACAGCUUAUAGGUAUCCAUCUUUGUGGCAAUAAUUAACAAAGUCAGUCUCAAGUGUGGGCUUCUCCUAAUUUCAAAUAAUAAAACUUAUCUAUUUAUAAAAGAAUAUUUUCUUUGUGUUCUCUAUAACAGGCAUCUGGCUCAUUCGAAAGUAUUAGCAAAUGAUUAAGAAAUAUGCUAAAGGAACAGGGGCCAUCAUUUUUAAGAUUAAUCUACCUGGAAGUGUUUGAGGUGUUCUCUAUAUGUAGUCUGAUGGUUAAGUUCAUAAACUUUGGAACCCUGAUGCCAAAAUUUAAAUCCCAACUCUGUCACUGCUUAUGUAAUCCUGGACAAUUCUUUCUAUGCCCCAAUUUCCUCAUUUGUAAAAUGAGUAUAAAAGUAGUUAUCUACCCCUUGGUAAAUGAGUUUGUCUAGGUAGGACCUUUAAAAGAGUAGUGUAGCAAUAGCUGAUAAAUGUUAGCUAUAUUAAGGAUAAUAAUUUUCAUAAUAGCGAUUUCUAUUAUUAGUUCAACCUUUCAGAAGUUGGCUCCUACUUCUUAUGCCAAUGGUUCCUACUGAACAGGUUCUGACAGCGCUGAAAUGAUCAAGGCUAUACGCAGAGUUCAAAUAAGUUAGCUCAUAAUUGACUCUUGUUCAUGGAUUCAAAGGCCAAGGUGAGACUAAUAAGACAUGGAAGCAAUGUGAUAUUAUUGGUGGUUAAAAGAGGUAGUACAAACCAGGGUUUUGCCCUGGGUGGUGUGGCUCAGCUGGCUGGAAUAGGGAGGGUCCUGUGGACCAAGGGAGUGUGGGUUCAAUUCCUGGUCAGGGUACAUGCCUCAGUCUCAGGUUGGUCCCUGGUCAAGGUGAGAACAAGGAGCAAAAGAUCAAUGUUUCUCUCUCACAUCUCUGUUUCUCUCCCUCUCUCUCUCCCUCCCUUCCCCCGCUCUAAGAUCAAUAAGCAUGCCCUGGUGUGAGGAUUAAAAAAAGAAAAAAAGUAGUAGUCUAAAAACUGUAUCUGAAUCCUGACCACAACUAGUGUAAAAUCAUUGGCCUAAAAUGCCCAAAUUUAGAUAUUUAGUUGGAAAUCAGUUUGGUAGAAAGGCCCAUAAAUCAAUAAUUUGUGGAGAACACAUGGUCACUUUUUUUUGACACAGUUUAUUGUACUUUGGGUCUGCCAGACAGGGAUGGCGCUUCCUUGCUGAUUUUCAGGGGCACAGCCACAAUGGCUGUGCGAGAAAGAGCCCCACAGGAUGAACAACCACAAUUUCAAGAGAAUCAGAGAGAAAAUUCUUGGAGGGGAAAGGCAGCAAGGCACUCCACACUGUCAAAAGUGCUGUCACUGGGCCUAAUUUCCUAAAAUUUGACCCAGUUUCCUUCCAGGGACUCUAGUCUUCCAUGUCCCUACAACCCCAAGAAAUUUCAGGGGGAGAGGGUCUAUGGUCCAUAAUCCAGGUGAACGUUUUUUGUAUAUCAAGAGUCCUCCUCUUAAAAUGCCUGGAUAAAAGAUACAUUUGAUGUCUUUAAACAAGGAUUUGCCAGUAGAAAAAGCAGAUUACAUUGUGAAAAACCAAAUUGAAAUAACUCCUGUUCUCACCAGCUUCUAAAUUCUUUGUAAAAUCUUUCCAGGAAAGAUCAGGACCAUCCUCGUAAAUAAGUAGCCUAGAAGCAGGAUAGUUUCAAACGUGGCUACAAAACUGCUACUCUUCCACCUCCAUGAAUGGUAACAGGUGAAUCGCCUCUCCUAGGCUAGUACCCAGGGCUGGGAGGAGCCCUACCUAGGCAUGACUCGCAGAGGUUACACAUCCUUCUAGCUUACAACAAGCAACUGCCCAAAAUAAAGUGGUUAUGAACUUAGAUCACAGAUUCCUCAUCCAAGGACUAGAUGUUAUGUUAAAAAGCAACAGAGUUCCAGAAAAUCAAACCCUGAUUUUCCAGGUGGGAAAUGAUAUUCACCCAGUGGGUUUAUGACUAGAGAAAAUCAACUAGUAAGUAUCUAUGAGACACUUAUGAAUGUCUGAGAAAGCUCAGAACUGCAUAAGAAAGUAAACGAUGAAGGAGAAAAGAUACAAACUGUGAGGCAGAAAAUUUGAAACAUAUGAGGUGUAAAUCUGGGUUCUCAAAGAGC
This is a long non-coding RNA of Phyllostomus discolor (pale spear-nosed bat), 3356 nucleotides long. RefSeq lists it as uncharacterized. The transcript is spliced from 2 exons. The record is from RefSeq and is a predicted model, not a curated record. NCBI's taxonomy places the organism in Eukaryota, Metazoa, Chordata, Mammalia, Chiroptera, Phyllostomidae.